Molecule: long non-coding RNA, 2162 nt
Filed under: Homo sapiens (human)
Lineage: Eukaryota; Metazoa; Chordata; Mammalia; Primates; Hominidae
Description: HSALNT0384013
Source: RNAcentral
CGGGGGGCGGCGCCUACGCAAUGCACGUUACGCCGCGGUGGAAGGGGUGAAGCUCUGCGCACGAGGCCCCGAGGAGCGGGAAACGGGAUGCCCGUGGGUGUCACCGCCACAGCGGCCGCACCGUGCGUGGCUCUGUUUCCUGGAAACGUCCAGAACAGGCAGCCCCCGAGACAGGGAGGGGCCCAGCGGUCGCCAGGGGAAGUGGGGAUGGGAAUGAGUGCGGAUGGGGCUGAGGUUCUUCCUGAAGGAUGAAUGCUCUGAAACUGUGAAUAGACACACGGAACUGUGCACGUUCACGGGUGAACCGUGUGGGGAGUGAAUCCAUCUCAACAGAGCUGUUACACAGUGAACAAGAGCACGAGGGGUGGAGGCCGCUUGUCUGCCCCGCCGUGAGCUGCCCGCAUGGCCGGGCCGUGGGCCGAGGCUCCAGCUCGGGCCUCACGGGCUGCAGAUGCUGGGCCGAGGCUGCUCAGCGGCUGUCCUGCCCCACACAGGAGUCUCUGGGGCUCGGGGUCUCCCAGGCCCUGGGGACAGUCGCUGGGUGGGACGGGAGGCUUGGGACCGGCCUGUCAGGCCUCUACCCUGGGGGCAGUGGUGGGCUGAGAGCUGGAGGGGUGGGGACUCCCCAUAGCCCCGCCUGCCCCCGCCCGCUGCCUGGCGCACCUCGGACAGCCUGAGGCCCAGCAUCUGCUCCUGCAGAUCGAGCCGGCUGCUCAGAGCCGGGAGAUGGCCACUCAGCUCCUUUAACUGCCCGGCCAGCUGCGCCACGGAUGCCUCCAGAGCCCGGCUCUUCUCUCGGAGCUGCAGGGGACAGGUGGGCACGGGGAGGCCUGGCUGAGCGCCCAUCCCGUGUGCGUGGGAGACCCCGUUGGGGACAUGUUGCGCUACCCCCUCACCAGCACCAGCUCUCCAUGCAUCUCCUGCCGGGCCAGCUCGCCAGCCAGCUGUGCGGCCUCCAGGUUCUCCUGCACAUAGGCGGCCAGCUCCCCAGCCCGGCUUUCCUCCAAGCGCCCCUUGGCGUCCCUAGGGGUUGGGGACACAUAGACACCCUCAGUGGAGCCUGCCCACCUCUCAGCCCUGGGCCAGGGAGGGGAGCUUGGCUGCUGGCUCCAGAACCUCCCAGGAGACCCUGGGAUCGGAAGAUGGGGUGCGGUCACAGUGCCACCAACACGGGUUCACUCCCCAUGGCCACCAAGAUGGGCGUUCACUCCCCACGGCCACCAAGACAGGGGUUCCCUCCCCAUGGCCACAGCUGAGUGCCCCAGGGAGGGCAGGCUGGGUGAGGGACAGGAGGCCCCACAGGAGGGAGGAGGGUUCGCACCAUCCAGCUGCAGCCCUCGGGGUCGAGCACUCUGCUCGGGGGAGGCAAGGUCAUUCCCUGCUGAGUCGGCCACUGCGGCCCCCUCCUGAGUGGGACAUCAGGGGUCCCCCCGCCUGACAGCACCUGAGGCCCCAGGACACCCACCAGGCUUUCUCCUCGGCCAGUAGGACACGGUUCAGCGACGCCUGGUUCUGCUGCACAAACUUGGUCAGCUGGGCCACGGCAGCAUCCAGGCCCUGGCACUGCUCCAGGAGGUGGCUCUCCUGCCAGGGGGUGGAGGCCGCCCUGAGACCUGCACCCCGGCCCCGGCCCCACCUGCCCGCCGCCCGCCCGGCCCCACCUCAUGCUGCCCCUGCAGGGCCCGCAGGCGCUCCUCCAUCAGCCCCCGAAGCUUCUCCCACCGGCUCUCCAGCUCGCCCCGCAGGCUGCCCUCCAGCUUCAGCCGUGAGCUCUCCGAGGCCUUCAUUCUCUGUGGGGAGACCCCACUGUCAGCUGCAGGUCUGCGUCUGGGAAGGGGGGCAGGGCAGGCCAGCCGCGGGCAGGCUCCCACCUUCUCCAGGGCCAGGAAGCUCUUCUGCAGGAAGCCGCACAGCUUGGCCUCCCUCUUCAGGAAGCGCAGGCUCACCUCUUCGCCGAGCUUGGUCACCUGGGCCUGGGGCGGAGGCACAUUGUCCCGUGUGCAGCCUCUGCUGGACACGCAGCCGGUCCCCCUCCUGCCCAUGGUCUCCAUCAGAGUUGGAGUCCCCUGCUGUCCCCAAGCCCUGAGCCCGGCUGAGCUGGGCCUGCCACACCCUCAGCCGGAAGAAAGCCACGGCGGGCAGGACCACUCUGUACCCAGACG